RNAcentral lists this ribosomal RNA (253 nucleotides) under uncultured bacterium. RNAcentral's name for it is "partial 16S ribosomal RNA". It matches the Rfam family "Bacterial small subunit ribosomal RNA", at positions 524 to 776 of the family's 1533-position model. The record is from RNAcentral.
UACAGAGACUGCAAGCGUUAUUCGGAUUCACUGGGCGUAAAGGGUGCGCAGGCGGUCGGGUGUGUCAGAUGUGAAAUCCCGAGGCUUAACCUCGGAACUGCGUCUGAAACUACUCGACUAGAGUACUGGAGAGGGAAACGGAAUUCACGGUGUAGCAGUGAAAUGCGUAGAUAUCGUGAGGAACACCAGAGGCGAAGGCGGUUUCCUGGACAGUUACUGACGCUCAGGCACGAAAGCAUGGGGAGCAAAAGGG